GUCUACGGCCAUGCCACCCCGAUCCCAUCUGAUCUUGGAAGCUAAGCAAGGUCAGGCCUGGUUAGUACUUGGAUGGGAGACCACCUAGGAAGGCCAGGUGCUGUAGGUG
RNAcentral lists this ribosomal RNA (109 nucleotides) under Pteropus alecto (black flying fox). The record is from RNAcentral. Lineage: Eukaryota; Metazoa; Chordata; Mammalia; Chiroptera; Pteropodidae.